UGUAGAUGUUAUGAUGGGCCUCCUCUUCAUGCUUAGCAGAUCAGAGUAAACCCUUCUUCCUCCCUGCUCUUGCAAAUGUGCGAGCAUCACACGGUCUUGGUUAGGGUGUGGUCUGGACAGACAGUCCAUGAUUGAUGUGAAUAUUUACAACCAAGCAUUUGUAUUGUCAAACGCUUACCAUCCAUGCAACACCACUAACACUAAACACUUCUAGCUUUCACGCACUUGGUUUGCCCUACUCCCACUGUUGAUCCUGCCCUGCUUGGCUCAGGAUGAGGUGUCUGUGGGCUACCUGGCAUGGGCUCUUGUACCAGCAGGAGUUUUGUUGCCGCACUGACCUGGGAUGUGUUCUUGCCCCGUGUCCUGCUCCAGCCUGGGCUGUGGUGUGCUGCCUGCGCUGUGUGCUGGUGCAUGUGCAGGGACUGCUCUAGGUAACAAAUAAAUGACUGGCUUUGUACCUGGGAUGCUUUCCUGAUUGGAUUCUUCACUUAGCUACAAAAAUGGUUGCAUUGGCUCAGGACAGUGUGUUUGGGGUGGCUGGGGAAAUAAAUGCAUAUUCAAUUACAACUGUAGCAUUCUUGAAUGAAAAAUGUGUAUCUUUGUCUGACUGAAAACAAUACCAGAGCAGUCAGCAACAAAGUUGUGGUGCGCUCUGUGGAACUGGUGUAUUUUUCCAGUGGAGUUUGAAACAGGGGCCAGAUCUCCACGUAUCAGCCUUGACAGCAUCUCCCUCAGCCUCUGGCAGUAGCCCCUGUGAUGGUUUAACUUCACCCCACUCUUACUGCACUACAACAAGGCUGUUACUGCUCUCUCAGCCCCCCUGCAUCUUUCCUUAUCGCUUAGGGUAUCUCUAAUACAGCUGGUGGUGAAACUACUUUGCGAAAGGGGUAGAUGAACUUCUGGUUCUUGAACCUCAUCAAGAGGAUCACUUGAAGGCAGGAUUUUUUAUUUUAAUUUAUUUUCUUUAAGCAGAAUCAGUUGCCUGAUUUGGUUAUUAAUAUACAACUGAGGGAGUAGCAAACCACAACAGGAGGGCAAAGGAUGCUGCAAAGAAUAAGAGGAAGACUCUGUAAAUGCUUGAAGCUAGCAUGGCAGCUGAAGAUUUUGUCUCCUGAAAUGUUGGCCUCAGAAGUUUAAAACUGCACUGGUACGUAUGCCUGAGCCCUGUGUGCUGUUACAAUCGUGCAGCACAUGUGUGGAGAUGGACAGACCAGUGUCUGGCUCUGCAGGUCUU
Long non-coding RNA from Oxyura jamaicensis (ruddy duck), 1234 nucleotides. RefSeq lists it as uncharacterized. NCBI's taxonomy places the organism in Eukaryota, Metazoa, Chordata, Aves, Anseriformes, Anatidae. The transcript has 2 exons. The record is from RefSeq and is a predicted model, not a curated record.